Long non-coding RNA from Armigeres subalbatus, 1287 nucleotides. RefSeq lists it as uncharacterized. The record is from RefSeq and is a predicted model, not a curated record. The transcript has 3 exons. Lineage: Eukaryota; Metazoa; Arthropoda; Insecta; Diptera; Culicidae.
GUCCUGUUGCCUUUUCACCACGUUCAACAUAAACAUCAACCUGCAGUAGAGAAGCUUACACCUGUUGUGAAAGCCACACACCACACACCUGAUAGGUCGUCCGCCGGAACGAAAUGACAUCCAACUUACGGGUACUCCCAACAGAUUUAGUCCACCUGAUUUGCAAGGCAGCGGUCAACACCCAUCAAUAUUUGUCAAAACGGACGGAAACGGCUUGUGAUCUUUGCCGGUCGCUCUAUCCUAUCUACUUCGGUACCAUCCAAAGAGUCUGACGAUGGGUAAAACUGCAGACUCUGCAUACAACGAUGACAACGGAGGUUAAAAUGGUGCAGUUACAAAUUAUUGAAGCAAUUGACCUGGUGGUGGAACCGCUGAGUGGAAGCGGUCGAAUGGAAGAACAUAUAUGCCUAAGCGAUCCUAAAGAUUGAUUAUGUAAAGAGGAUGACAUUGUCCUUACGCCUCAGAGUAGAUAGUUCAAUAUGGGAUUUGCUGAACUUAUCUGUGGCUGCGCGAAGCUUGAACUUCGGAGGAAGGCUGCUAUGCACUGAACGGAACAUCUUUGGAGGCAGAGAAUGACGUAGUGGCAGUGGUCACUGGAUGUGUCUUGGUACUGCUGACCAGAUAUGGAUACACCGGAAAGUAACGAUUAUCGUGCGCAAGGUAAUAGCUACCGAAAAAGAGUGCGAAAUAUUCGCGAAGUUGCCCGAGGCCGAACGAGAUCUAAGAGCAAGAUUACCGGUGGUGAAUUUAAGCCAUUUGGCAGCGCAGUAUCAUUACUUGAUACUUUACCGGUCGCUACUAAAUACACUGCUAUAACAGCAGCGCGACUGACAGGUGACCAAAUUUGGUAGCGCGAUAAGAGCGCUGCUAUUUGAUGAACUGUCAACUGUCAAACGUCACCGGUACGGAAUACAGCAACCAAAUUGAGAGCCGAAAAUAGUGACCGAUACGGAAACGAGUGACGAAACUAAAAUGAAAGCGCUGCGCGGGUGAUUAAAAUGCUCGCGACCGAUAAUGAUGCUCUAAACGAUAUAGAUUCAUGAUUCGCACGGAGGAAACAAUUACAAUUUCGAUAAUUACAAUGAUCAUUAACAUCUAUAUGAUCACAAGCGUCGUCGAGACGAGAAUGGACUUCCAUAAACUUCAAUUUCCGCCAAUACAGCCACCGGAAAGCUGAAAUACUGCUACUCUACCUAUAAGGCAUGGAUCUUGCUUUCCCCUGUCCAACAGUAUAACCAGUAGCUCCGAUAUGGUGUUCCAGUCAGUAAGUUUUAAAAUCAAGGAUUA